This 469-nucleotide ribosomal RNA is filed under the name uncultured bacterium. RNAcentral's name for it is "partial 16S ribosomal RNA". It matches the Rfam family "Bacterial small subunit ribosomal RNA", at positions 28 to 508 of the family's 1533-position model. The record is from RNAcentral.
GACGAACGCUGGCGGCGUGCUUAACACAUGCAAGUCGAACGGAAAGGCCCUGCUUUUGUGGGGUGCUCGAGUGGCGAACGGGUGAGUAACACGUGAGUAACCUGCCCUUGACUUUGGGAUAACUUCAGGAAACUGGGGCUAAUACCGGAUAGGAGCUCCUGCUGCAUGGUGGGGGUUGGAAAGUUUCGGCGGUUGGGGAUGGACUCGCGGCUUAUCAGCUUGUUGGUGGGGUAGUGGCUUACCAAGGCUUUGACGGGUAGCCGGCCUGAGAGGGUGACCGGCCACAGUGGGACUGAGAUACGGCCCAGACUCCUACGGGAGGCAGCAGUGGGGAAUAUUGCACAAGGGGCGGAAGCCUGAUGCAGCAACGCCGCGUGCGGGAUGACGGCCUUCGGGUUGUAAACCGCUUUCGCCUGUGACGAAGCGUGAGUGACGGUAAUGGGUAAAGAAGCACCGGCUAACUACGUGC